GACGAACGCUGGCGGCGUGCUUAACACAUGCAAGUCGAACGGAAAGGCCCUGCUUUUGUGGGGUGCUCGAGUGGCGAACGGGUGAGUAACACGUGAGUAACCUGCCCUUGACUUUGGGAUAACUUCAGGAAACUGGGGCUAAUACCGGAUAGGAGCUCCUGCUGCAUGGUGGGGGCUGGAAAGUUUCGGCGGUUGGGGAUGGACUCGCGGCUUAUCAGCUUGUUGGUGGGGUAGUGGCUUACCAAGGCUUUGACGGGUAGCCGGCCUGAGAGGGUGACCGGCCACAUUGGGACUGAGAUACGGCCCAGACUCCUACGGGAGGCAGCAGUGGGGAAUAUUGCACAAUGGGCGGAAGCCUGAUGCAGCAACGCCGCGUGCGGGAUGACGGCCUUCGGGUUGUAAACCGCUUUCGCCUGUGACGAAGCGUGAGUGACGGUAAUGUGUAAAGAAGCACCGGCUAACUACGUG
This 468-nucleotide ribosomal RNA is filed under the name uncultured bacterium. RNAcentral describes it as "partial 16S ribosomal RNA". It matches the Rfam family "Bacterial small subunit ribosomal RNA", at positions 28 to 507 of the family's 1533-position model. The record is from RNAcentral.